This 394-nucleotide ribosomal RNA is filed under the name uncultured bacterium. RNAcentral describes it as "bacterial SSU rRNA". It matches the Rfam family "Bacterial small subunit ribosomal RNA", at positions 505 to 898 of the family's 1533-position model. The record is from RNAcentral.
GUGUCAGCAGCCGCGGUAAUACGAAGGGGGCUAGCGUUGUUCGGAAUCACUGGGCGUAAAGCGCACGCAGGCGGAUUGAUAAGUCAGGGGUGAAAUCCCGGAGCUCAACUUCGGAAUUGCCUUUGAUACUGUCUGUCUUCGAGUUCGGGAGAGGUUGGCGGAAUUCCUAGUGUAGAGGUGAAAUUCGUAGAUAUUAGGAAGAACACCAGUGGCGAAGGCGGCCAACUGGCCCGAUACUGACGCUCAUGUGCGAAAGCGUGGGGAGCAAACAGGAUUAGAUACCCUGGUAGUCCACGCUGUAAACUAUGGAUGCUAGCCGUUGGGGAGCUUGCUCUUCAGUGGCGCAGCUAACGUCUUAAGCAUCCCGCCUGGGGAGUACGGUCGCAAGAUUAAA